RNAcentral lists this ribosomal RNA (468 nucleotides) under uncultured bacterium. RNAcentral's name for it is "partial 16S ribosomal RNA". It matches the Rfam family "Bacterial small subunit ribosomal RNA", at positions 28 to 507 of the family's 1533-position model. The record is from RNAcentral.
GACGAACGCUGGCGGCGUGCUUAACACAUGCAAGUCGAACGGAAAGGCCCUGCUUUUGUGGGGUGCUCGAGUGGCGAACGGGUGAGUAACACGUGAGUAACCUGCCCUUGACUUUGGGAUAACUUCAGGAAACUGGGGCUAAUACCGGAUAGGAGCUCCUGCUGCAUGGUGGGGGUUGGAAAGUUUCGGCGGUUGGGGAUGGACUCGCGGCUUAUCAGCUUGUUGGUGGGGUAGUGGCUUACCAAGGCUUUGACGGGUAGCCGGCCUGAGAGGGUGACCGGCCACAUUGGGACUGAGAUACGGCCCAGACUCCUACGGGAGGAAGCAGUGGGGAAUAUUGCACAAUGGGCGGAGGCCUGAUGCAGCAACGCCGCGUGCGGGAUGACGGCCUUCGGGUUGUAAACCGCUUUCGCCUGUGACGAAGCGUGAGUGACGGUAAUGGGUAAAGAAGCACCGGCUAACUACGUG